Molecule: ribosomal RNA, 900 nt
Filed under: Weissella paramesenteroides
Lineage: Bacteria; Bacillati; Bacillota; Bacilli; Lactobacillales; Lactobacillaceae
Description: bacterial SSU rRNA
Rfam family: Bacterial small subunit ribosomal RNA
Source: RNAcentral
CUGAUUUGAUUUUAUCUGACAAAGAGUGGCGAACGGGUGAGUAACACGUGGGUAACCUACCUCUUAGCAGGGGAUAACAUUUGGAAACAAGUGCUAAUACCGUAUAACACUAACAACCGCAUGGUUGUUAGUUGAAAGAUGGUUCUGCUAUCACUAAGAGAUGGACCCGCGGUGCAUUAGCUAGUUGGUAAGGUAAUGGCUUACCAAGGCGAUGAUGCGUAGCCGAGUUGAGAGACUGAUCGGCCACAAUGGGACUGAGACACGGCCCAUACUCCUACGGGAGGCAGCAGUAGGGAAUCUUCCACAAUGGGCGCAAGCCUGAUGGAGCAACGCCGCGUGUGUGAUGAAGGGUUUCGGCUCGUAAAACACUGUUAUAAGAGAAGAACGACAUUGAGAGUAACUGUUCAGUGUGUGACGGUAUCUUAUCAGAAAGGAACGGCUAAAUACGUGCCAGCAGCCGCGGUAAUACGUAUGUUCCAAGCGUUAUCCGGAUUUAUUGGGCGUAAAGCGAGCGCAGACGGUUAUUUAAGUCUGAAGUGAAAGCCCUCAGCUCAACUGAGGAAGGGCUUUGGAAACUGGAUAACUUGAGUGCAGUAGAGGAAAGUGGAACUCCAUGUGUAGCGGUGAAAUGCGUAGAUAUAUGGAAGAACACCGGUGGCGAAAGCGGCUUUCUGGACUGUAACUGACGUUGAGGCUCGAAAGUGUGGGUAGCAAACAGGAUUAGAUACCCUGGUAGUCCACACCGUAAACGAUGAGUGCUAGAUGUUCGAGGGUUUCCGCCCUUGAGUGUCGCAGCUAACGCAUUAAGCACUCCGCCUGGGGAGUACGACCGCAAGGUUGAAACUCAAAGGAAUUGACGGGGACCCGCACAAGCGGUGGAGCAUGUGGUUUAAUUCGAAG